RNAcentral lists this ribosomal RNA (382 nucleotides) under uncultured eukaryote. Its description in RNAcentral is "partial 18S ribosomal RNA". It matches the Rfam family "Eukaryotic small subunit ribosomal RNA", at positions 592 to 976 of the family's 1831-position model. The record is from RNAcentral.
UGUAAGCGUAUACCAAAGUUGUUGCAGUUAAAACGCUCGUAGUCGGAAUUUGGCAGUUCCGGAUGUGUGCACGUCGUGUGCGCACUUCGCGGGGAUUGCUUUUGUGGUCUUGCGUAGGAUGAGGCACUUUUAUUAGUGAACGUCCUCACGCAACCACUUUUUACUGUGAGAAAAUCAGAGUGCUCAAAGCAGGCAUUUGCCGUGAAUGUAUUAGCACGGAAUAAUAGAAUAGGACUUGGUUCUAUUUUGUUGGUUUGUUGGGACUGAGUAAUGAUUAAGAGGGACAGUUGGGGGCAUUUGUAUUUCGGUGCUAGAGGUGAAAUUCUUAGAUUACCGAGAGACAAACUGCUGCGAAAGCGUCUGCCAAGGAUGUUUUCAUUGA